GUGGGGAAUCUUGCGCAAUGGGCGAAAGCCUGACGCAGCCAUGCCGCGUGAAUGAUGAAGGUCUUAGGAUUGUAAAAUUCUUUCACCGGGGACGAUAAUGACGGUACCCGGAGAAGAAGCUCCGGCUAACUUCGUGCCAGCAGCCGCGGUAAUACGAAGGGGGCUAGCGUUGCUCGGAAUUACUGGGCGUAAAGGGCGCGUAGGCGGACAGCUUAGUCAGAGGUGGAAGCCCAGGGCUCAACCUUGGAAUUGCCUUUGAUACUGGCUGUCUUGAGUUUGGGAGAGGUGAGUGGAACUCCGAGUGUAGAGGUGAAAUUCGUAGAUAUUCGGAAGAACACCAGUGGCGAAGGCGACUCACUGGCCCAAUACUGACGCUGAGGCGCGAAAGCGUCGGGAGCAAACAGGAUUAGAAACCCCGGUAGUCC
This 425-nucleotide ribosomal RNA is filed under the name uncultured bacterium. RNAcentral's name for it is "partial 16S ribosomal RNA". It matches the Rfam family "Bacterial small subunit ribosomal RNA", at positions 354 to 796 of the family's 1533-position model. The record is from RNAcentral.